UCAAAACCACAGAAACUCUCUAUUUCUCCCCAAAAAACUGGGGAUACCAAAAAUCAGAGAAUCUUCCAAUUCCCUUCUUAAAUCCUCAAUCACCAAUUCGUUCAUGUCAAUCCUCCCUUAAAUCCAUUAUCCAGCAUCAAAAGUACCAGUCUACCACUACUACUACAUAGAGAAACAAAUAAAAUAUUAAAAACAACAGUUUCCACCUUAAACCGCCAUGCCUUGGUUCAGAAAUCUCAUCCACCUCUCCUCCUCUACGACCUUCAGAACACAGUCAUCCCUCAAACCCAUCACUACUGCUACGUCACUUUCCUAUGCUUUUACCCACCAGUUGACACAGUUCAGCACCGCCGCCACCGAAGAGAAGGCGGCGGAGGCGGACGUGAGUGAUAAAGGCAGUGGAGCUGGUACUAUUGCCGCGAGGUAUGCUGGGCUCGCGCCCACGAAGGGGGAUGAGAAGCCGAGGGUGGUGGUUUUGGGCUCGGGAUGGGCCGGAUGCAGACUCAUUAAAGAUAUCGAUACCGGCAUUUACGACGUCGUUUGCGUCUCCCCCAGGAAUCACAUGGUCUUCACUCCAUUGCUGGCCUCCACGUGCGUCGGCACUCUGGAAUUCCGGUCUGUUGCCGAACCCAUUGGAAGGAUCCAACCUGCCAUUUCUCGGGAACCCGGUUCGUACUAUUUCCUUGCUAACUCCACCGGCGUUGAUUUCCAAAACCAUCUGGUGAAUUGCCAAACAGUAACUGAUGGAGCUGGUACUUUGGAGCCAUGGAACUUCACCAUUGCAUAUGACAAGCUGGUGAUUGCAGCUGGAGCAGAAGCGUCAACUUUCGGCAUCAGGGGUGUUAAAGAACAUGCCAUUUUUCUACGCGAGGUUCAUCAUGCUCAGGAAAUCCGGAGGAAAUUGCUUCUUAAUCUCAUGCUCUCUGAUGUGCCAGGAGUUAGUGAUGAAGAGAAACGUAGGCUCCUACAUUGUGUAGUUGUUGGUGGUGGUCCAACAGGCGUUGAGUUCAGCGGUGAACUUAGUGAUUUUAUCACGAGGGAUGUCCGCCAGAGAUACGCUCAUGUCAAGGAUUAUAUACGCGUUACUUUGAUUGAGGCAAAUGAGAUUUUGUCUUCCUUUGAUGAUCGCCUGCGGAUAUACGCAACCAAGCAGUUGAUUAAGUCAGGAGUUCGUCUAGUUCGUGGAAUUGUGAAGGAUGUUCAACCUGAGAAGAUAGUUCUUAGUGAUGGGACUGAUGUACCUUAUGGUCUGCUGGUGUGGUCUACUGGCGUUGGCCCUUCACCUUUUGUCAAAUCCCUGGAUGUUCCCAAAUCACCUGGGGGAAGGAUAGGGGUAGACGAGUGGCUUCGUGUCCCUGCUGUGCAGGAUGUUUUUUCUAUUGGUGACUGCUGUGGGUUUCUUGAAUCUACAGGCAAGCCUGUGCUUCCAGCUCUGGCUCAGGUUGCUGAGCGGCAGGGAAAAUAUCUAGCACAAGAACUGAACAGGAUUGGUAAAGCUGGUGGUGGACGUGCCAAUGCUGCAAUGGAGAUCGAUCUUGGGUCUCCAUUUGUCUAUAGGCAUUUGGGGAGCAUGGCGACCAUUGGUAGAUACAAGGCCCUUGUGGACCUCAGGCAGAGCAAGGAGGCAAGAGGAUUAUCUGUGGCUGGAUUUGGAAGCUGGUUUGUCUGGCGGUCUGCUUAUCUUACGCGUGUCAUAAGCUGGAGGAACAGAUUCUACGUAGCAAUCAACUGGUUAACGACCCUUGUAUUUGGCCGUGAUAUAAGUCGUAUAUGAAGUAUUUAAGAAUACAAAAUUCAAGGCAAAAAUCGGAACAAAAAUACUACGACACUGUAUCAGAAAAUGAGAUGUCGAGGAGCACUUUUAGAUAUUGUCGAGCUUUAGGAACAGGUAUUCGCUGGACAAAUGAAUGGUUUUGCAGAAAUGAUUUCGCAACAGCAGAAGGAAUAAAGCCCUUGUAUUUUGCCAGGAAAAAAAACAAACAAAAUUUACUUGUAAUUGGUUGCUUGAUUAAGCAAGCGACCUUCUGUGAUUGGUAUAGUUGCUUCCCUUGUUGUUUGUUCAAUUGGAUUUAAGUAAUUCAAAAGCCACCUUGUGCUCA
Coffea eugenioides is the source of this 2099-nucleotide RNA transcript. It is a transcript of the gene named internal alternative NAD(P)H-ubiquinone oxidoreductase A1, mitochondrial, with no coding region annotated. The transcript has 10 exons. NCBI's taxonomy places the organism in Eukaryota, Viridiplantae, Streptophyta, Magnoliopsida, Gentianales, Rubiaceae. The record is from RefSeq and is a predicted model, not a curated record.